CUAUGCUAGACGGGGAGUUAGCGGUGCCCUGUAACCCGCAAUCCGCUAUAGCGGGGUCGAACACCCACCGAGGCAUAUCUUAUGGAAAGCCGAUGCCGAUAAGGGAUGUCGAUGGUAAGGUCUUGUGCAAUUGUGAGUUGUGAACCGUGUCAGGGCUUGACCGCAGCAGCACUAAGCAAAUUUCAUAAUGUGCCACAAGGAAGCUUUAUCGGAGUUACCUGUCGGUAUGCCGAUUCGGUAAGAUAUGUCGGAGUGGGCGCAUUU
Molecule: signal recognition particle RNA, 264 nt
Filed under: Clostridiales bacterium
Lineage: Bacteria; Bacillati; Bacillota; Clostridia; Eubacteriales
Also listed under: 1 other name
Description: signal recognition particle sRNA large type
Rfam family: Bacterial large signal recognition particle RNA
About the family: The signal recognition particle (SRP) is a universally conserved ribonucleoprotein involved in the co-translational targeting of proteins to membranes.
Source: RNAcentral